Panicum virgatum (switchgrass) is the source of this 2632-nucleotide RNA transcript. It is a transcript of the gene named protein PLASTID TRANSCRIPTIONALLY ACTIVE 10-like, with no coding region annotated. The transcript has 16 exons. The record is from RefSeq and is a predicted model, not a curated record. NCBI's taxonomy places the organism in Eukaryota, Viridiplantae, Streptophyta, Magnoliopsida, Poales, Poaceae.
CCUUAAACCCCGUGACGACACCGCGGCCGUUCCGUGCUCCCAAAACCAAACCAAAAAUGGCGACCACCCGGCCGGCCGCCGCUACCUUCCUCCACCACCAGCUUCCCCUUCCCAGCCUCCGCCCCAAGACCCUGCUCAGAACCCGCCUCCGCCGCCUCUCCGCGUCCAUCAACCCCUCGCCUCCUGAUGAGACCCCCGCCGCCGACCCGCCGGUCAUCCCCUCGAUCAGCAUUGAAAACACCGAGCCCGAAGAGGUUGCCCGCCGCCGCAGCUGGGUUGAGCACGGCUGGGCGCCCUGGGAGGAGGUCAUGACCCCGGAGGUCGCCUUCGCGCGCCACAGCCUCAACGAGGGCGAGGAGGUGCCCCUCCAGUCGCCGGAGUCCCUCGAGGCCUUCCGCAUGCUCACGCCGGCCUACCGGAAGAAGGUGGAGGCCGAGCCGGGGUACAUGGAGCGCCUCCUCGCGACGCGCGACACUCCCGAGCCCCUUGAGACCACGUGGGCCGGCAGGCUCCCGCUGCGGCUCGUGCCGCCGCGGGACUGGCCGCCGCCCGGCUGGGAGGUGGACCCGGACGAGCUGGAGUUUAUAAGGGAGGCGCACAGGGAGGCGUCGGAGAGGCUGGACAUGGAGGCGGCGGCCGCGGCCGGGGUGACGAACGUGGAGAAGCUGGAGGACGCGCCGAAGGAUCUGGCGCUAGAUAGAUACAAAAUGUUCCUGAAGCAGUAUAAGGAAUGGGUGGAGGCAAACCGGGAUAGGUUGGAGCAGGAAUCCUACCAGUACGACCAGGAUUACUACCCUGGAAGAAGAAAACGAGGUAAGGACUACAGAGAAGAUAUGCAUGAACUUCCAUUCUACUAUCCUGGACAGAUUUGUUAUGGGCAAGUGACGACCGUUCACCUCCAUCAGGGAGCCUUUGUUGACAUCGGCUGUGUCCAUGAUGGAUGGGUGCCGAUAAAAGGAAAUGACUGGUAUUGGAUCCGACAUCACAUCAAGCCUGGCAUGAAAGUAUAUGUGGAGAUUCUGGCCAAACGAGAUCCCUACCGUUUCCGCUUUCCGCUUGAAAUGCGAUUUGUAUAUCCCAACAUUGAUCACCUAAUAUUCAAUAGAUUUGACUUUCCACCAAUAUUUCACCGUAAGGAGGAUACUAACCCAGAGCAGUUGUGGCGUGAAGGUGGACGUCCACCCAUUCCUAGGAAAAAACCUUUAAAGGAUAUGGAAAAGGAACCUUUGGUAUCAGAUCAUCCUUUUGUUGAUACGCUUUGGGAAUGGCAUAAUGCAGAGCAGAUGAUUUUAGACUACGAGGAGCAAAAUCCAGAUAAAUUCAAGGAUACGACAUAUGAGUCCACAGUUGAUGCAUCCUCAUUCGAUGAAGAAAACAGAGUUGAAUACACUGAAGGAUAUUUUAAAGAAACACGGCUAAAAAAGAAAGUUGUGAAUGUAAACAUCAAAGAACUUGAUCUUGAUGCUGCUCGUGCUGAACGCCAGCUGAUAAAAAAACUGAAAAAGGAAGCAGAGGAAAGAGGAGAGCAGUACAAAGUUGGGAAGCUGCGACGUAACAGAGAAAUGGAUGAGUAUGAUCUGAUGCAAUGGCUGCGUUCAUUUGAAGAAAGGGAAGCCCUUAUCAGAGAUAUUUGCUGUCGGAAAGCUCUUGGUCUUCCUAUUGAGGAACCUGGGCGAUACGACGUAGACGAGACAGAGGUCUAUGGGAAGGAUUACUAUGACCCAGAGAAGCCAAUGUACCGCUAUGACUACUGGGGAGAGCCCAAGAACACCGAGAAAACUAGGCUGGAGCGGGAUGUGGAGCGUCACAACCAACAGAUUGUUGGAGACGCAAAGAAAUGGUGCGAGAUGUCGUAUGAUGACUACAUCCGCAAGAAGCUGAGGUUGGAAGCAGCUGAAGCGAGGGAAAGGCAGAGAAAGGCAUCAGAGCCGCAAGAGGAGGAGGAGUAUGACGACGGGAUGGACCUGGACUUGAAGAACAUGACCGAUCCUCGCGCCCCGCAUAACCGGUUUUACAUCACGAAAUGAAAGGUACAAGGAGAACAGAUGGGAUCCUAAGCAGCUUAUUGGCUCCGGCGGUAUGCCAUCAUCACAUUCUGCCACGGUUACAGCACUAGCAGUAGCGAUUGGAUUCCAAGAUGGUUUUAGUUGCUCCCUCUUUGCAACAGCAGCUAUAUUUGCAAGUGUGGUGAUGUACGAUGCUUCUGGUAUCAGAUUGCAUGCUGGAAAGCAAGCAGAGGUAUUGAAUCAAAUAGUUUGUGAACUUCCUUCUGAACAUCCUUUGUCUGAAACAAGACCACUGCGAGAACUUUUAGGCCAUACACCGACCCAGGUGGUUGCUGGCGCGUUGCUUGGGUGUGCAAUAGCCACAGCAGGACAGUUAUUCGUUUGAACUUUGAAGGUGCAGCAGAACUGUUGUAGCAUUUGCAGGGACUUGAGAAGAAGUUUUCUCUAGUGUUCUGCUACUUUAGGUAUUGGUAAGAUUUGCAAAUCUGUGCUGUAGUGUUGUUGAAGGUUGAAGCUUUGGUGGCACAUGAUUGUAUGCCAAGGUGAUGUUCACAGGGUUGUUGUACAGAACAUUUGUUCGAUAACUUCAUGGUUAUUGUGAAAUCUAAAUGUGAUUAUUUUGGCAA